Molecule: long non-coding RNA, 724 nt
Organism: Lathyrus oleraceus (garden pea)
Lineage: Eukaryota; Viridiplantae; Streptophyta; Magnoliopsida; Fabales; Fabaceae
Exons: 2
Source: RefSeq, a predicted model, not a curated record
CAAGAAGGAAAACUCCAGCAUCCACACGUUCAUCUCACCUACUCGGUUGUUUCUCUCUCUGAAAUAAAUUUCUGAUAUCCCUUUUUUAACAGCGACCAAACCCUAUCUUCUCCCACAAAAAGAAAACCAAAGAAGAACACCGACGCGCCCACCCUAGGGUCAAGGAUGAACACCUUAUGGUGUUCAUCAUUACCAUCUCAAAAGAAAACGCAUCUACAGAAUAGAAGUUCUUAUGCAAACCUUCAAACAACAAAGAAUCCAUCCAGACAAACACAUCUACACAAAUAAAUUUUAGCAAACAAGCGGCAAAACAAUGAGGCAGUGAUUGAAUGUAAAGUGCAGACAAACCAAACUUCGACCCUUAUCCCCAAUCAACACCCUUCGACCCCGAUUUCACGGUUUCCCUAGAAUAACGAUAACAUGAGGGAAGGAGGCGUGAUUCGACAUUAUUUAAGCAAGUUUAGAUGAUACCAAGAUGGCUUACAGGUUAUAGCUCUGAGAUGAUCUAAUGGAAUGGAAGGUGGCUGCUCCAAGCUUCAAGACAACCUGUUUUCGUGACUAAGUCCAAAGUGAUUUCAUCCUAAUUGCUUGGUUUUGGUCAUUAGGAACCUAUUUCCAUCUGUAGCAAUUUUUUCACUGUAAUUACUUAGUUUAGUUUUUUUUAGACAAAAUGUGUGUUUGGAUUAUUUGGGACUUAUUGAAUUAAAUUUUAAUUAUGUAAUUA